UGAAAUAAGGCUAGUAUUACAAGAAGUACAAAAAGAAAUUAAUAAAAUAAAAAAUAUAAUACUCUCAUGAAUGAUAUACUCCAAGAUAAACUUUAUCUAACAAUAUUAAAAAAGUCAGCACAGAUCCAACCAAAUCCCGAAGGAUUAUCAGACCAUCAACCCCAGGGAAAAGCAGACUCGUUAAUCAUAAAACAAAAUAAUAUUAUAAUUUUGUUACUAUUAGA
RNAcentral lists this long non-coding RNA (224 nucleotides) under Capsicum annuum. RNAcentral describes it as "long non-coding RNA (CANN_LNC001941)". Lineage: Eukaryota; Viridiplantae; Streptophyta; Magnoliopsida; Solanales; Solanaceae. The record is from RNAcentral.